ACUCCUACGGGAGGCAGCAGUGGGGAAUCUUAGACAAUGGGGGCAACCCUGAUCUAGCCAUGCCGCGUGAGUGAUGAAGGCCUUAGGGUCGUAAAGCUCUUUCGCCAGGGAUGAUAAUGACAGUACCUGGUAAAGAAACCCCGGCUAACUCCGUGCCAGCAGCCGCGGUAAUACGGGAGGGGGUUAGCGUUGUUCGGAAUUACUGGGCGUAAAGCGCGCGUAGGCGGACUAGAAAGUUGGGGUGAAAUCCCGGGGCUCAACCUCGGAACUGCCUUCAAAACUCCUAGUCUAGAGUUCGAGAGAGGUGAGUGGAAUUCCAAGUGUAGAGGUGAAAUUCGUAGAUAUUUGGAGGAACACCAGUGGCGAAGGCGGCUCACUGGCUCGAUACUGACGCUGAGGUGCGAAAGUGUGGGGAGCAAACAGGAUUAGAUACCCUGGUAGGUCAGUC
This 448-nucleotide ribosomal RNA is filed under the name uncultured bacterium. Its description in RNAcentral is "bacterial SSU rRNA". It matches the Rfam family "Bacterial small subunit ribosomal RNA", at positions 335 to 800 of the family's 1533-position model. The record is from RNAcentral.